AGCUGAGAAAAGGGAACUCGGACUAAAGCCUCUACAGUCUACACAUUAAAUAAUUGCCAGUUCCUUCAAUAUCUUUGUUCGUGUUCCAAUGAAGUUAAUAAAAUAUAUAUAAAUAAUCAGUUCAGAGAAUUUUCUUUAUUUUUUUCACAAUAUUUGUCUAAAAGAGCUUAUAAAAACCCAUCACUACGUUUGCGUUCUUGUAUCCAUUGUGUAUUAUCUCGCAUCCAUCUUUUCAUUUUACGCCUCUUUAUUUCUCUCUUCAGAUUUUGUUUUAUUCACUCUUUAUCACUCUCAUGCAUACAUAAUUCAUCGUGUAUCUCGUAAAUAUUCAUUGAUUCAUCUUCUUUUGUUUCCAAUCCCUUAUCUUUUCUGUUUUGCUACAUACGAAUAACUGUUGUCAAAAGAUCCAAUUGUAAUUUGCUUUAAUUUUUAGAUAAGAUCUAGGGUUUCUUUCUUUUCCUCCAAAUCUUGCUGCAUAUUAACAAGAUCGUGUUUUCAUGCUUGCUAGGGUUCUAGAUCCAUCCUUACAAAGCCUAAAUACACAAACAUACAUACUCAUAUAAUAAUACAUACCUAUAGUUAAUACGAAGAACAACUUUUAUAUUCACUACUAUGAAUUGAUAUUGUAGGAAUAUAUAUAUACAGAGGGAGCUUCCUUGAGUCCAUUCACAGGUUGUGAUAUGAUCCAAUUAGUUUCCGACUCAUCCAUCCAAAUACCCAGUCACUAAAACUAAGCUAGACUCGUUAAAUGAGUGAAUGAUGCGGUAGACAAAUUGGAUCACUGAUUCUCUUUGGUUGGACUGAAGGGAGCUCCCUCUUAAUUUUUAUAAUCUUCUUGAUCUCUUGAAUUUUCAAUUGUCCUUUCAGAAAAAAACGUUACAUACUUAGCCAACAGGCAUAUUCAAAGCUAUUGGGGUUACAUGUUCCAGACUUUCGUCUUGAAUACAUGAACAUUACUGAGGUGUGGAUAUUUAUAAAUCUGGAUUCUCUGUUCUCCGAGACUUGGCGGCUGUAUUUUACAAGGCUUGUUCAUUUUGUAGAUGGCUAGGGUUUAUUGUAAGGAAAAGAGAAACAUGAAAAAAAGAGAAGAAAAAAAGAGAAGCAUGAAGACAAAAUUAUUAGCUUUGUUUUCUCUUGGGGCUUGGAGAGAGGUCAUGGUGCUGCAACAAGUUCCCAUAAUCUUUUCAUUUAUGCUGUAUUACAUUUCCCAAUUACGUUCCUCUCUCUCUCUCUUCAAUGACAUUCUUUAGUCUUUUUAUAGUUGAAUUGAAAUUUCUUGUUUUGAAAACGCUUUGGUUUCUGCUUUCCUUGCCUUUGGAAAUUGAAAUGAAUUUAUUUCCAUUAAGAAAUUCAUUCGAAUGUGU
Raphanus sativus (radish) is the source of this 1364-nucleotide long non-coding RNA. RefSeq lists it as uncharacterized. The transcript has 2 exons. NCBI's taxonomy places the organism in Eukaryota, Viridiplantae, Streptophyta, Magnoliopsida, Brassicales, Brassicaceae. The record is from RefSeq and is a predicted model, not a curated record.